GUCCACGCCCUAAACGAUGUCAAUUAGCUGUUGGGGGUUAGAAUCCUUGGUAGCGUAGCUAACGCGUGAAAUUGACCGCCUGGGGAGUACGGCCGCAAGGUUAAAACUCAAAGGAAUUGACGGGGCCCGCACAAGCGGUGGAUGAUGUGGAUUAAUUCGAUGCAACGCGAAAAACCUUACCUGCUCUUGACAUGUACGGAAUUUGCCAGAGAUGGCUUGGUGCCCGAAAGGGAGCCGUAACACAGGUGCUGCAUGGCUGUCGU
This 263-nucleotide ribosomal RNA is filed under the name uncultured bacterium. RNAcentral describes it as "partial 16S ribosomal RNA". It matches the Rfam family "Bacterial small subunit ribosomal RNA", at positions 793 to 1055 of the family's 1533-position model. The record is from RNAcentral.